Molecule: transfer RNA, 78 nt
Filed under: Rattus norvegicus (Norway rat)
Lineage: Eukaryota; Metazoa; Chordata; Mammalia; Rodentia; Muridae
Rfam family: tRNA
About the family: Transfer RNA (tRNA) molecules are approximately 80 nucleotides in length. Their secondary structure includes four short double-helical elements and three loops (D, anti-codon, and T loops).
Source: Rfam by way of RNAcentral
GGGGAUUUAGCUCAGUGGUAGAGCGCUUGCCUAGGAAGCCUAGGAAGCGCAAGGCCCUGGGUUCGGUCCCCAGCUCCA